Molecule: non-coding RNA, 1389 nt
Organism: Ictidomys tridecemlineatus (thirteen-lined ground squirrel)
Lineage: Eukaryota; Metazoa; Chordata; Mammalia; Rodentia; Sciuridae
Source: RefSeq, a predicted model, not a curated record
UUGAGGGCCAUGCUAAGUUGUUGAGGCUGGCGUUGAACUUGCGAUCCUUCAGCCUCAGAAUCCCAAGUCUCUGGGAUUCUGUUUGCACCACUGCACCUGGUGGUAUAUUCAUUUCUUAAGUGCUGUGAACACCAUUUAGGAUGUAGAACAUCAUAGAGGACAAUGAUUCAUAUUGCUUUUUGGACAUAUUCCAGAGCUAUUCUGAUGUGGAAUCAUCUUUCCUUCAGUGGAGAAGAGUGUUGGAUAGAGGUGCUGGAUAGAAGUGGAUAGAGGUGCUGCUGGCCCACCUGCCAUUAUAACAGAGUAUUUGCUACCUAAAGCUCAUGAAGUUGGAUUGAAACUCCACUUUGUCUGGAAGAAGGAGGGCUCGAGGGUGAUGGAUGAAAUCAUGGAAAAGAGAAAGUAGAAUAAGGGAGAGGAGAAGACAGUCAGUAUCCAGGGAAGGACAUGACCUUUGAGCUUGACCUUUCCUGCUUUGUGUACUGAAGGUCUUCAGCUCAUAUUUGACUGGAAAAUUUGAUUUUUUGAUUAGGGAAAUAUGUCUGGGCAUUCCCUUCUGCUACUAGUCUCUCAGAUAGUUAAAUUCAAUGAAGUAGAUUUUUAGAAAAAAAUUGAGAUAAAAGAGUAAAUUGGGAGCAUGGUGGUGAAACCAUCUUUGGAUCAGUUGAGCAAAACAGCACUAGAAAGAUCUUAAAAGGUACCUGGAAGGAUGAGGUGAGAGGACAGGUGUGGCCAAUGGAGACAGAGCAAGGAUUCUGCAAAGGGAAGCACAAGGGGAUGAGGAAUCCUGAGAAGGCAGGAGAGGUGGGUGCUGAGUCACCACUGUCUGGGGAGAGCUGCUCACAAGUGCGUCGAAGGAGGUAACUCUUCCUUGGAGCCUGGAAAGGCAGGAGGCCCUGGUCACUCUUUGAGCCUUGCCAUGUUGAGCCCUGGCUUAACAGACCAACUUAGCGAGGGUCACUGAGAGAUGGCCUCACCAAGUCCUGCUGUUUCUGAGCUGCUCUUCCUUUCCUCAUCUCCCUCCAGCAUGAUAACCCAUAUGAUGCAGGCUGCAGAAGAAAAUGUUUCAUCAUUCUCUGCGCACCCUUGGGACCCAAGUACAUGUCAGAGGCUCUGUGCAUUCAGGUGGAGCAGGGCACCACCUGGGGGCCAACAUUACAUCUUAAAAAAUUUCCUUGGGCCCAAGUCUGCAACUCAGGCCCUCCCGAGGUGUGGCAAAUCUGCACCCUUACAGAAGGCCAGUGCUGCAACAUCCCACCCGGUGAUGCCAGGAUGUGAGCCCUACAUCAAGGUCUCUUGGGCCUGAGCCCUCACAAAAUCCCCUGUUGGGGCUGCCAUGGCCCCCAUAGUUAUCUAAGCCUUAUAAAAUAUAUUUUUUGUUGGUUUUUA